This is a non-coding RNA of Pelobates cultripes (western spadefoot toad), 580 nucleotides long. The record is from the annotation of a GenBank genome assembly. Lineage: Eukaryota; Metazoa; Chordata; Amphibia; Anura; Pelobatidae.
GUUGGGACCUAGACAUUGUUUGCAUAGGCUGUGCAAUGUGAAAUAACUAAAAUAAAAUAGGAUAAUAAGUAUGCUUAGUCAAUUUGUAAAGUGGUAUAAUAGAGGCAUCUGCAAUAAAUUAAGUGGGUUUCCAAGACCUGACAAGUGAGAGCAACUUAAUAUAACAUAUGUCUACAGUUUGCUGUCCCUUCCUUAUCAGAGGCCACUUGCAACACAGCAAGACAACUCUUCCUAAACUUGUAUUAAACAAAGCACUUUAGAACAAUAGUAAUUUAUUUUGUUUCUCCUAUUUCAUUCCUAGUUGUUCUGAAAAAAAAUAUAUUGUUUAAGUGGGAUAACUGUAUGGAGGUUCCAACAUGUAUUAAAACAUGAUCACACACAUCGGGAUCUAUAAAAGGUUUCGGUUUCCAAAGAUGUUAUCAGGGUCCACAAAAUUUUAUUAAAGUAAUUAAUUGAGAUUAUCAAAUCAAGGUUUAAGUUUAAGAACAGCAUUUUAUUGGGAAUUAUACCAAUAUGUAUAUGUUAGUGUUUUAGUACUCAACAAGCAUUUAUAUAGAAUGAGUGCUUCUCUCAUCCAUAC